This 274-nucleotide ribosomal RNA is filed under the name uncultured bacterium. RNAcentral's name for it is "partial 16S ribosomal RNA". It matches the Rfam family "Bacterial small subunit ribosomal RNA", at positions 523 to 796 of the family's 1533-position model. The record is from RNAcentral.
AUACGGAGGGUGCAAGCGUUAAUCGGAAUUACUGGGCGUAAAGCGUACGUAGGCGGUUCGUUAAGUUAGAUGUGAAAGCCCCGGGCUUAACCUGGGAACUGCAUUUAAAACUGGCGGACUAGAGUUGAGUAGAGGGAAGUGGAAUUUCAGGUGUAGCGGUGAAAUGCGUAGAGAUCUGAAGGAACACCAGUGGCGAAGGCGACUCCCUGGACUCGAACUGACGCUGAGGUACGAAAGCGUGGGUAGCAAACAGGAUUAGAAACCCGAGUAGUCC